RNAcentral lists this ribosomal RNA (497 nucleotides) under uncultured bacterium. Its description in RNAcentral is "partial 16S ribosomal RNA". It matches the Rfam family "Bacterial small subunit ribosomal RNA", at positions 28 to 507 of the family's 1533-position model. The record is from RNAcentral.
GAUGAACGCUGGCGACGUGCCUAAUACAUGCAAGUAGAACGCUGAAGCUUGGUGCUUGCACCGAGCGGAUGAGUUGCGAACGGGUGAGUAACGCGUAGGUAACCUGCCUCUUAGCGGGGGAUAACUAUUGGAAACGAUAGCUAAUACCGCAUAAAAGUCGAUAUCGCAUGAUAUUGAUUUGAAAGGUGCAAUUGCAUCACUAAGAGAUGGACCUGCGUUGUAUUAGCUAGUUGGUGAGGUAACGGCUCACCAAGGCGACGAUACAUAGCCGACCUGAGAGGGUGAUCGGCCACACUGGGACUGAGACACGGCCCAGACUCCUACGGGAGGCAGCAGUAGGGAAUCUUCGGCAAUGGGGGCAACCCUGACCGAGCAACGCCGCGUGAGUGAAGAAGGUUUUCGGAUCGUAAAGCUCUGUUGUAAGAGAAGAACGAGCGUGAGAGUGGAAAGUUCACACUGUGACGGUAACUUACCAGAAAGGGACGGCUAACUACGUG